UUUUAUGCGAAUUGCUGUCAAACUGUUAUUUGCUGGUGAACGUAAGGUGUGUGAUCAAGUUCUUGAAGGAUUCGAUUCACUCAAUGAUCAAUGUUUUGCUGAAGUUACUACUGCGAGUGUUGCUGUGUUGCUUAGUUUUGGUGAUGCCAUUGCAAAGAGCAAAAGAUCACCUGAGAAGUUAUUUGUGCUUCUAGAUAUGUAUGAAAUAAUGCGGGAACUUCAUUCAGAGAUUGAAUCACUUUUCAGAGGUAAAGCUUGCAAUGAAAUUAAGGAAUCUGCCUUUGGUUUGACAAAGCAACUUGCCCAGACAGCCCAAGAAACCUUUGGUGAUUUUGAAGAAGCAGUU
Molecule: unclassified non-coding RNA, 346 nt
Filed under: Hevea brasiliensis (rubber tree)
Lineage: Eukaryota; Viridiplantae; Streptophyta; Magnoliopsida; Malpighiales; Euphorbiaceae
Source: RNAcentral